This 773-nucleotide long non-coding RNA is filed under the name Androctonus crassicauda. The record is from RNAcentral. Lineage: Eukaryota; Metazoa; Arthropoda; Arachnida; Scorpiones; Buthidae.
CAACCUUGGUGGAACGACCGGUUAGGAGUCAGUCUUCGGUUCGCAAUAGAACUCUGCAGGCGCUUUAUCCGCAUACAUCUCUAUUUGCUAACUAUAGGAACGAUCUUUCAUCUACUUAACUCCGACUAUUAGUAAGAAGGAAGAAAUCACGUGGACAGAAAAACGAUUGUUGACGUCACAAUCGUCUAAAGUUCUGCAUUAAAGGCGAAAUAAUCACGGGGUGAGCUUUGAUUUUUCGAGCCCCCUCUGAAGAUGGAGCCCUUCCGUCCACGCACGGCUCCCAGACUAAGAAGCCAAACUCAUUCUCCCGAUGAUGAUGACAGAUAUCAAAGCACCACUUCCGAAGAAGAUGGUGGAGAAGAAGGAAUCUCUAAUACCUACGACUGCAUUAACAGACGUAUGACUUUCGAAGAAGCUUUUCUCAAAUCUAGAGAUUAUAAUGCAGUAAAGAUGUGAACAUUAGCAUUAGGGAAGGUAGUUAUCGCUCAAGUUAUACGGAGAUUUUUAAACCCCGGAGCCGAUAUCCAUCAUACUAAAAAAGGAAGUUUCACUGAAUAGAUGAAAAUAGGAUGCAAAAUAUACUCAUCAUUUAUUUCUCUUUUACAUGAUCCCUGGAGCAUAAGCUUCGACUACACGUAACUGGAGAACCAUUGUCCUUAAUAAAGAAAAAAAUAAAUAUAUAAAUAAAAUUAGUACUUAUAUGUGAGGGGAAAAGUUUUGCUUCAUAUCCAUAAACAUAUUGUAAACAUUAACGAGAAUUACGUAAAAAGAAC